GAUGAACGCUGGCGGCGUGCCUAAUACAUGCAAGUCGAGCGAACGGACGAGAAGCUUGCUUCUCUGAUGUUAGCGGCGGACGGGUGAGUAACACGUGGAUAACCUACCUAUAAGACUGGGAUAACUUCGGGAAACCGGAGCUAAUACCGGAUAAUAUUUUGAACCGCAUGGUUCAAAAGUGAAAGACGGUCUUGCUGUCACUUAUAGAUGGAUCCGCGCUGCAUUAGCUAGUUGGUAAGGUAACGGCUUACCAAGGCAACGAUGCAUAGCCGACCUGAGAGGGUGAUCGGCCACACUGGAACUGAGACACGGUCCAGACUCCUACGGGAGGCAGCAGUAGGGAAUCUUCCGCAAUGGGCGAAAGCCUGACGGAGCAACGCCGCAUGAGUGAUGAAGGUCUUCGGAUCGUAAAACUCCGUUAUUAGGGAAGAACAUAUGUGUAAGUAACUGUGCACAUCUUGACGGUACCUAAUCAGAAAGCCACGGCUAACUACGUG
This 497-nucleotide ribosomal RNA is filed under the name uncultured bacterium. RNAcentral's name for it is "partial 16S ribosomal RNA". It matches the Rfam family "Bacterial small subunit ribosomal RNA", at positions 28 to 507 of the family's 1533-position model. The record is from RNAcentral.